Molecule: ribosomal RNA, 551 nt
Filed under: Cryptorhynchini gen. sp. ARC0601
Lineage: Eukaryota; Metazoa; Arthropoda; Insecta; Coleoptera; Curculionidae
Description: partial 16S ribosomal RNA
Rfam family: Bacterial large subunit ribosomal RNA (bases 383-541)
Source: RNAcentral
GGSUUAUUGAUGAUAAUAUUAGGUUUGGCCUGCUCUAUGAUUAAAUUAAAUGGCCGCAGUAUUUUGACUGUGCAAAGGUAGCAUAAUCAAUAGUUUUUUAAUUGAAAGCUUGUAUGAAGGGUUUGAUGAAAAAAUAACUGUCUCUUAAUAAAUUUUAGAAUUUUAUUUUUAAGUAAAAAAGCUUAAAUAUAUAUAGAAGACGAGAAGACCCUAUAGAGUUUUAAAUUUUUAAGAGUUAAUAUUAUUUUAGAAUUAAGAAAUUUUACUUAUAUAAAUUUUUUGUUGGGGUGAUAGAAAAAUUUAAUAAACUUUUUUAUAUUUAUACAUAAAUAUAUGAAUAUAUGAUCCUUAAUUUAAGAUUAUUAGAUUAAAUUACCUUAGGGAUAACAGCGUAAUUUUUUUUAAAAGUUCAAAUUAAAAAAAAAGUUUGCGACCUCGAUGUUGGAUUAAAAUUUAUUAUUGGUGUAGAAGCUAAUAAAUUAGGUCUGUUCGACCUUUAAAAUUUUACAUGAUCUGAGUUUAAACCGGUGUAAGCCAGGUCGGUUUCUAUC